RNAcentral lists this ribosomal RNA (253 nucleotides) under uncultured bacterium. Its description in RNAcentral is "partial 16S ribosomal RNA". It matches the Rfam family "Bacterial small subunit ribosomal RNA", at positions 524 to 776 of the family's 1533-position model. The record is from RNAcentral.
UACGUAGGGUGCGAGCGUUGUCCGGAAUUACUGGGCGUAAAGAGCUCGUAGGCGGUUUGUUGCGUCGGCCGUGAAAACCUGCAGCUUAACUGUGGGCCUGCGGCCGAUACGGGCAGACUUGAGUUCGGUAGGGGAGACUGGAAUUCCUGGUGUAGCGGUGAAAUGCGCAGAUAUCAGGAGGAACACCGGUGGCGAAGGCGGGUCUCUGGGCCGAUACUGACGCUGAGGAGCGAAAGCGUGGGGAGCGAACAGG